GCCAGUCCUUUAGAUAUUUAGUUUUGAACGUGUCAAAUAGAUGGCGUGAAAGAAUGUUGUUUGUUGUGUCAGAUAUGGGCUUAUGGCGGCUCGUUGCCAAAAGUUUAGCUACAGCUAUUUUCUUCGAAAAUUACCAAUGAAUUCGCUGGAGAAAAUGUGAAAGGUGCAUGAAGCCUGUACUGCCUUGUAUUGUGUUAAAAAUCCUGGAAUCCUACUGAAUAUGUCAUCCAAAUGACAGAGUGGCGGAAUCAUUCUAUGGGACUUGCCAGAUCACCAAACCCAUCACGGACCAAUCUCUCAUUCCAUCUUCUAGAGAACCUUGGAUAACCGAUUGGUGGCCGGUGUUCUUGGGUUGCAUGACAGACUUUAUGAGAAGUCAUGUCCAUUGGACAAAAAGGACAAUGACUAUACAGUAACCCGCUGGCUGCUUGCCUGCUACCCUUGAAUAUCCCCUUUUACUUCAUGAAAAUGUAAACAGGCCCUCUUGAUUUGAGGGUAACUCCUUCGCUACUUAUCAUGGACUUCAUCCAUUGGUGAAAACCAAUGACAACCAGGAGGAAAAGAGUGUGCUGGUCGAACGGGGAACUUGCAAGCUAAG
Daphnia pulex (common water flea) is the source of this 598-nucleotide long non-coding RNA. RefSeq lists it as uncharacterized. The transcript is spliced from 5 exons. NCBI's taxonomy places the organism in Eukaryota, Metazoa, Arthropoda, Branchiopoda, Diplostraca, Daphniidae. The record is from RefSeq and is a predicted model, not a curated record.